RNAcentral lists this ribosomal RNA (405 nucleotides) under uncultured prokaryote. RNAcentral's name for it is "bacterial SSU rRNA". It matches the Rfam family "Bacterial small subunit ribosomal RNA", at positions 355 to 774 of the family's 1533-position model. The record is from RNAcentral.
UGGGGAAUAUUGGGCAAUGGGCGAAAGCCUGACCCAGCAACGCCGCGUGAAGGAAGAAGGUUUUCGGAUUGUAAACUUCUGUCCUCAGGGAAGAAAAAAAUGACGGUACCUGGGGAGGAAGCUCCGGCUAACUACGUGCCAGCAGCCGCGGUAAUACGUAGGGGGCGAGCGUUGUCCGGAAUGACUGGGCGUAAAGGGCGCUUAGACGGUUUUUUACGUCUGGAGUGAAAGUCCUGCUUUCAAGUUGGGAAUUGCUUUGGAGACUGGAAGACUUGAGUGCGGAAGAGGUAAGUGGAAUUCCCAGUGUAGCGGUGAAAUGCGGAGAGAUUGGGAAGAACACCAGUGGCGAAGGCGACUUACUGGGCCGUAACUGACGUUGAGGCGCGAAAGCGUGGGGAGCGAACA